This 429-nucleotide ribosomal RNA is filed under the name Pseudomonadota bacterium. RNAcentral's name for it is "Proteobacteria bacterium partial 16S ribosomal RNA". It matches the Rfam family "Bacterial small subunit ribosomal RNA", at positions 355 to 776 of the family's 1533-position model. Lineage: Bacteria; Pseudomonadati; Pseudomonadota. The record is from RNAcentral.
UGGGGAAUAUUGGACAAUGGGCGAAAGCCUGAUCCAGCCAUGCCGCGUGUGUGAAGAAGGUCUUCGGAUUGUAAAGCACUUUAAGUUGGGAGGAAGGGCAGUAAGCGAAUACCUUGCUGUUUUGACGUUACCGACAGAAUAAGCACCGGCUAACUCUGUGCCAGCAGCCGCGGUAAUACAGAGGGUGCAAGCGUUAAUCGGAAUUACUGGGCGUAAAGCGCGCGUAGGUGGUUCGGUAAGUUGAAUGUGAAAGCCCCGGGCUCAACCUGGGAACUGCAUCCAAAACUGGCGAGCUAGAGUAGGGCAGAGGGGGGUGGAAUUUCCUGUGUAGCGGUGAAAUGCGUAGAUAUAGGAAGGAACACCAGUGGCGAAGGCGACCACCUGGGCUCAUACUGACACUGAGGUGCGAAAGCGUGGGGAGCAAACAGG